GCUCCUCCCGUCCAGCCGGACAGCGUGUGAUGUCCUCUCCGUGAUCCUGUAUGGCCCGGUCCACCUUGGUUCCGUCCACUUCCUUUUGGUGACUUUUAGCAGGACCCAGACGCCUGGCACCGAAGGCGAAGCCUCUUCGUGUGUGUAGUUUUGGUCCAAUGAAGGCUUUCUCGACUUGUGCAGUCCUUGAUCUCGGCAGAUAGUUGGUAGGAAGGCUCACACUCCGGCCGGACCAGAAGUUCCCUGAACCGAUCGCCUAGGGAUUAAAGGUUAUGCACAAAAAUGUCCUAGCUCUUACUGACCCUAGCCUCUGAUACCUUCAACAUCAGACACAUACAGUUACGAACAGCAAGCGCAAUUAAAGGUACAGUGACAUCACGACAUGGACACACACAGACACACAAACACAUACACAUGCACAUACACAGAGAGAGAGGGAGAGAGUAAGAAUGUGUGUGGGAGAAAGAAAUGUGUGGGAUCCAUUUUGCCACCAGCAUCUCCACCUGUGUCACAGAGAAAAAAUUGCAAAGAAAUUAAAACAUAAAGCAAACAACAAUAAUUCAAUGAGUAUAAAUGAUCAAACUAAAAUAUACAACCAUGCAUGGGUUUUAUAACAGUUCCGGCAACACUGGAGAGGAAGCCUUGUAUAAUGAAUUCUUAAGAUGUCCUUCAUCAAUUAGAGGUUAUAGCCAAAUUGUUUCAGGAUCCUGAAUUUGAAUUUGAAUUGGUUAAUUUACUCAGAAUAGUCCAAUGUCUUUGUUGAUGUUUCUCAAGGCUCAGCCACGCCCAUAUAGAUAAAUAAACAAACAAACAAGACAAACACAGUCAAACACACGGUCCAUACACGUCUCUGUGCCCUCACACACCAAGCAAAUGUCAGACUGAAGCGAAAGUGUGAAAUACUUAACCUAACGCUAAAUCAGUGGAAAGAAAAAAAAUAAGACCUAAAGCGUGUAAUCAAAUUAAUCCAACAAAACUUCCCAUAACUGCCGUUCUAAACUCAUGUUGCGGUGUGAUCUCUCCAAUUAGAAAUUAGGACAACCACUUUUACUAUCAAUUCAACCAAAUAGUUUCAGGUUGUCCCUUACCUAAACUACCUGUCUUUCUUACCUUCUUUCUUUCUUUCUUUCUUUCUUUCUUUUUUAGGAACACUACUCGCACAAGAAAUCCUAAGAAUUAAUUCACUACUUAAGGUUAAUUCAUAAAUAACGAAACUGCAGUUACAGGUUUGUUUGUGCAUAGUAUUGGUAAUCAGCAGUUUUUUUUUCCUUAUCUCCUCAUCUAGAAGUGUUUCUGUGCUACUCCUCCAUCUAUAACACAAGUUAGUAUCAUCCUUAAAGCAUCUGAAAUUAAGCUGCAUUGCUAAAUCAAUAACGUGAUUUGUGCUAAGAAAUACUCCCCUAUCCUCUUCCUUUUUCCAGUGGCGCUGAAUGACAGAUUUUAGAUCACUUUAACUUUUUAUCACUAUUACGUUUCAUUUAAUUAAUUUUGCUUUUUCUCUCUUAUUUUUGUCUAUUUAUUUAUUUAUGUUAUUUACUUAUUUAUCAUGCCAUCCUGUGAUGAUAAUCUUAAAGACUUUUUAGCCAAUUGUCGUCAAAAAGGCCAAUUAAAAAUAUUAUGUUAAAGAUUUCACAAGAUAAAAAUGUGAACAUAAUUUUUAUCGAAUGAGGGGUACAAUUAUUCAAUAUUUUUGUGACAUUAUUUUCUACGUUAGAACUUACAGCUGAUAGAAAAAUAUAGGAUCAGCUAGGUUUGGCUAGAUCUGUUGGGAAACUCAACGGAGCUGAAACAACACUGUUGUCUCGGAUGAGAUGUUCCAUGAAUCAUUUAGUCAGCUGGAUGCCAAAUUAUUCAUUUAAUGUUUAUUUUUAUGCAAUGAAUGGAAUGGGAUGGAACGUUACUAUAAACUAUCCGGAAAUUUGCGCAUGUUUGCUCGAAGGAGAGAACUGUUGAAGCCUAAAGCGUUCUCCUAGACUUAUAAAUAGACACCGUUUCCUUAACUAAUGAAGAUAAGUGAUGACGCUGAUGUAUUCCGUUUUGAAAAGAAAAUAAGGCUUUACUGCAUGUCCGCUGCAGCUGAGAAUCCUAGGACAAUAAAGAUUAUAUUGACGUCCAAUGGUGAGUUGGGCUGAAAUCCAGGUUACUAAUCCUAUUAUUUAUUUAUUUAUUGAUAUUAUUAUUAUCUUUUUUUAGGCUAACUUUCUCAGUUAACUAUGUUCUACAGUAGUUUAGUAAAUUUUCCACAGUUCUGACAUUUCAUCAAUUCAACUGGUUGUUGCCAAAAAGCCUUGUUCAUUACCUGACUGCAGCAAGCACUCUUUUACUGGGUGUAACCAUAGGAAACAGUCUCUUUUGAGCCUCUCUUUGUAAGUCCAGGAUGACCACCGUCAUUGAUUAAAGUUCACAUGUUAGCACACAUGCUCCCCCUUUUGUACUUUGUUUCAUCAGCAGCAGGGCAAAUAAGUUUCUGCCUCUUUGUCCAUCUUGUAGUGCUCCCCGUCUUUAUGUUAUGAGUCACAGCUUUUGGUGAGGGCUUCCAGGUUCUCUUUGGUGAGGGCUUCCAGGUUCUCUUUGUAUAGAAGUCAGAGCCAAACAUUCUUUGCAGCUGGUUGUGACAGGCCCACCCAGUAAAGUUCAUGCCUGCCACAAUGCACAGCAAACGUUUUCCUUAAAUAUGUUGAUUGAGUUAAAAUGACAGAACUUUCUCUUUUACAAAUCAAAAUCAACGAUGGUUUCUAAUAUUUAGUCGACUUUAUUGACUCAAAGGUAAAUCUAGACUACUUCCUAUGCACAAUUUUUCUGAAUCGUCAAAUCGGUUCUACACAGGUUUUAAACUUUAGGCACAAUCUAUCCCAAAUGCAAGAUCCCUCCUUUCAUUUUUUAUUUAUCUAUUUUAUUUUGGGAAAAUAACUACCAGUUUUUAACUCAAAACAGCCUAGUACAGUUUCUAGCCAGGUUACAGGAAAUAAUACUUAGUUUAUCUGUUUUUUCAUUAUUCAGCGUCCCAAAAUCCAGCCAUUAACGUUAAUGGUUCUUAAAGUUGAGGUAAGACAAUUAUUGGAUUUUGUUUUAUAGCAAGAUUUAACAAAUAUUUUAUUUCCUGACUGAUUAUUUGUUAAUUUUAUGGUUUUCAUAAAGAUGAUCCUGAGAGGUUCAGAGCUGCUUUUCGCAGUACCCUGUGCUAUUUUUAGACUGCGGGACUCCUGUGUGUAAAAGUGGGUGGAGUCAGGUCCCCAGGCUGAAACUCCAGUCAUUCUCACUAGAUCUGUCCGAGAGGAAGGAUCUCCUGAAUACCCUAACCAGAAGCCUUAAGUCUCUUGAACUAAAUAACCGUCUAGCAAAAACAUGGACCGCACCCUGUUUCUCAAGCAGCUGCUCCCUCUAUUAAAAACUGAGUCAUUCAGAAGAUCCAGCGAAAGCAGCUCAUGCAAGAAGACACGCAUCCACUCAUUCACAUGGCACAGACGACAUUCUUUGUUUGUCACAGUCUUUUUUUUUUUUUUUUAAAGUAAGUCAGUUCGUCACUUAUUUAUUCUCUCUCUAUAUAUAUAUAUAUAAUAUUUUAAGCACAGAAUUUAUUUUAACACUGCACUGGUUAUUUUCAGAAUUUAAUGCGUACUAUGCUUUUAAGCAGGCCUUAUGUAACAUUAGCGCAAAUCCAAUUGCAAUUUCUUUGAGAGCGCUCUUGAGGAAUAGUUUAUAUAUUUAUUUUCUGCAGAUCUGUUUUGAUUUUACUGUUUAGCAGCUAUAUGACUAUAUUUCUAAAAUAAAGCUGUCAUUUACAUCCUUA
This is a non-coding RNA of Nothobranchius furzeri (turquoise killifish), 3790 nucleotides long. Lineage: Eukaryota; Metazoa; Chordata; Actinopteri; Cyprinodontiformes; Nothobranchiidae. The record is from RefSeq and is a predicted model, not a curated record.